AGGAGACCAAGUCUAUGUGAAAAACUGGUCAGUGGAACCAUUAAAGGGAACAUGGGACGGUCCUCGCCAGGUGAUAAUGACCACUUAUACGGCGGUGAAAGUCGAGGGAAUCGACAAUUGGAUCCAUUACACCCGAGUCAAGAAGGUUCCAGUCUCAUGGUCGGUAGAACCUCUCUCACCUACAAAGAUGGUAUUUCGAGCCAACAAUUGAAGAUUGUGGUAUUCCUGGGGUUGAUAAGUCUAGCAGAGACCACCGUGAGAAUUGAAACCCCAGAUCCUUAUUUGUUUGUACCAGAACACACUGAUGUUUUCAGAUGACCAGGGAGCUGAAUUAAGAGAUGUCCACGUCAAGUGGAAACGGAGGGAUCAAGAUCGAAUCAUAACAGAAGGAGUGACAACAGUUUGGGAUGCGACACAACAAAAGGGUUAUACCGUCCUGCAGGUACCUGAGGUGUCUAAAACCGUAGAAGGGACAUACAUGUGUGUAGUUUGGAUUCAAAGGAGUUUUGAUUAUGGGUAUGUAGAAAUACACAUGAUAAACACAACUCGGGAAAUAAUGACUAAGGUACAAGUUAUACCCCCUAGGAAAACUCGACAUGUGAGAGAUCUGCAGAUUCCGAAUAGAGAAAUAGAACAGGAAAAUUUAAUUGUGGGCCUAAUUCGAGAUUUUGGGAAAGUACAAAACGUUACUAAAAUUACUGCAUGUCUCCCUAUGCCUCAUGCAGCAGGAGACCCAAUUCCAUGGGGAAUAAUUCCAGUGCCAGAAAUACCCAAAAUGUUUAAGAAUAUUACAAGGAAUUGCAAAUUUGUAACCAUCACAUGGAGCGAAACGGUAGAUGUAUGUUUAUUAAGUGACAAAAUGAUGAAGAAGCAAUGUGAACAGAUGCCGGGAUAUUUCCGAUGGGUAGUAAUUGGGACAUGGGUAACAAGUGAAACAAUUAAUGAAUUAAAAGGAUACUGUUUAGUUACAAAUUCAACACACCCAUGCUCUAAAGUUCCGGCUUCAGUAAAACGAGAAAAACAAGAAGAGGUCUGUCAAAAUAUUACCAGUUCUACAACCAUGGAAGAAUGGCAAACAAUUUGGGGACCCAGCCUGCUAGAGACAUAUAGUUAUAUUGGAAAGGUACAGUGGUGCAUUCACUGGAAGGGGAAAAAGAAUCAGACUUAUUCUACAGGAAAUAGAGGGAAUCAUAAUUGGAGGACAGAAACACAUACAAAAGAGGAUUGGAAUUGUACCCGAAUAUACACAUGUGAUACCCCAGACGAUGAAAUAGGCUUAAUGCCAGUCAAAACACUCCUGCAGUUAGGAUGUGAGUGUCGAGGAUAUAACCAUACUAUUAAAGGACAUG
This 1349-nucleotide long non-coding RNA is filed under the name Manacus vitellinus (golden-collared manakin). RNAcentral describes it as "lncRNA (ENSMVIG00005019198.1)". The record is from RNAcentral. Lineage: Eukaryota; Metazoa; Chordata; Aves; Passeriformes; Pipridae.